GAUGAACGCUGGCGGCAUGCCUAAUACAUGCAAGUCGAGCGAACGGACGAGACUCUUGCUUCUCUGAUGUUAGCGGCGGGCGGGUGAUUAACACGUGGAUAACCUACCUAUAAGACUGGGAUCACGUCGGGAACGCGGAGCUCAUACCGGAUGAGAUUUUGAACCGCAUGGUUCAACAGAGAAAACCGGUCUUGCUGUCCCUUGUAGAUGGAACCGAGCUGCAUUAGCUAGUUGGUAAGGUAACGGCUUACCAAGGCAACGAUGCAUAGCUGAUCUGAGAGGGUGAUCAGCCACACUGGAACUGAGACACGGUCCAGACUCCUACGGGAGGCAGCAGUAGGGAAUCUUGCACAAUGGGCGAAAGCCUGACGGAGCAAUGCCGCGUGUGUGAUGAAGGUCUUCGGAUCGUAAAGCUCUUUUAUUUGGGAGGAAGAGAAGUGUAAUAAACUGUUCAUAUCUUGACGUUACCUAAUCAGAAAGCCACGGCUAACUACGUG
RNAcentral lists this ribosomal RNA (497 nucleotides) under uncultured bacterium. Its description in RNAcentral is "partial 16S ribosomal RNA". It matches the Rfam family "Bacterial small subunit ribosomal RNA", at positions 28 to 507 of the family's 1533-position model. The record is from RNAcentral.